Molecule: ribosomal RNA, 458 nt
Filed under: Neisseria elongata
Lineage: Bacteria; Pseudomonadati; Pseudomonadota; Betaproteobacteria; Neisseriales; Neisseriaceae
Description: bacterial SSU rRNA
Rfam family: Bacterial small subunit ribosomal RNA
Source: RNAcentral
AUUGAACGCUGGCGGCAUGCUUUACACAUGCAAGUCGGACGGCAGCGGGGUAGUGCUUGCACUACUGCCGGCGAGUGGCGAACGGGUGAGUAAUAUAUUGGAACGUACCGAGUAAUGGGGGAUAACCAAUCGAAAGAUUGGCUAAUACCGCAUACGCUCUGAGGAGGAAAGCAGGGGACCUUCGGGCCUUGCGUUAUUCGAGCGGCCAAUAUCUGAUUAGCUAGUUGGUGGGGUAAAGGCCUACCAAGGCGACGAUCAGUAGCGGGUCUGAGAGGAUGAUCCGCCACACUGGGAUUGAGACACGGCCCAGACUCCUACGGGAGGCAGCAGUGGGGAAUUUUGGACAAUGGGCGCAAGCCUGAUCCAGCCAUGCCGCGUGUCUGAAGAAGGCCUUCGGGUUGUAAAGGACUUUUGUUAGGGAAGAAAAAGGAGCGGUUAAUACCCGUUUCUGCUGACGG